This 338-nucleotide long non-coding RNA is filed under the name Gossypium barbadense (sea-island cotton). RNAcentral's name for it is "long non-coding RNA (GBAR_LNC007710)". The record is from RNAcentral. Lineage: Eukaryota; Viridiplantae; Streptophyta; Magnoliopsida; Malvales; Malvaceae.
GAGGUUUUUAAAUUCCGGUCAUUCCGAUGAGAAUUUCACUACGGAUAUAGUCAUCAGCUUUAUACUCGCCGGUCGGGAUACAACAUCGGCGGCAUUGACAUGGUUCUUUUGGUUAAUACAUAAACACCCUGAAGUUGAAAAGGAAAUCCUUAAAGAAAUUAAAGAGAAACCGGAUAUGCUGGUUUUUGAAGAAGUUAAAGACAUGGCUUACAUUCACGCUUCCUUGUGUGAGUCUAUGAGAUUGUACCCUCCGGUCCCGACGGACAGCAAACGAGCGGUGGCAGACGAUGUUUUGCCGGACGGGACGGUGGUAAAGAAAGGGUCGGUGGUGACGUACG